RNAcentral lists this transfer RNA (77 nucleotides) under Crocinitomicaceae bacterium. Its description in RNAcentral is "tRNA-OTHER". It matches the Rfam family "tRNA". Rfam says of the family: Transfer RNA (tRNA) molecules are approximately 80 nucleotides in length. Their secondary structure includes four short double-helical elements and three loops (D, anti-codon, and T loops). The record is from RNAcentral. Lineage: Bacteria; Pseudomonadati; Bacteroidota; Flavobacteriia; Flavobacteriales; Crocinitomicaceae.
ACCGCCAUCGUCUAAUUGGACUAGGACGCCUUGGUUUCACCCUUGGAAUGCGGGUUCGAACCCCGCUGGCGGUACCA